This is a long non-coding RNA of Hypomesus transpacificus, 690 nucleotides long. RefSeq lists it as uncharacterized. The transcript is spliced from 4 exons. Lineage: Eukaryota; Metazoa; Chordata; Actinopteri; Osmeriformes; Osmeridae. The record is from RefSeq and is a predicted model, not a curated record.
AAAACACUUUUUCGAAACUGUGCGUAUUGGUUUUGCGACACAAGCAUCGAUGCGUCAGUGCCAUACGUCCCAUCCCUAGUCACGCAGAUUAACCGAAUUGACUCGGCUGCUCUCCUGCUGACGUGGCCAAUGAUGUCCAGUCAAGAAGAACAAGCGGUCAUUCAGACCCCGAAAUGGAAGCUCAGAUGAUCUUAAGGCAGCCAAUGAGAUGCCAACAGUAAGAAGGUAAAGGGAUGGGUCAAGUACCAGAUGAACUUAACCUGUGGCUAUGACAGCAGCAGGAGGAAAGGGCAGGUUCUGCCCCCUGCGCAAGUCAAGCGUCUGGUGCACGAUACCAGGGAGAUGGCAGGUCUUCAAACCAGCAAUGUAAUGCACCGAACUCGUCAGCUGACCUUCCUGAAGCCAAUGAGCUGUCAGCUGUCCUGGUCCCAAAGGCAUGUUUGAAGAUGGCUGGCAGCAUCUGCUCUGACAGUAGAGCAGCAGUCAGUAUCACAUGAUCGCACCAACCCCAUAGCCAGAGGGACAAGAGCUGCUACUGCAGUCUGUCUUGGUGUAUCUGUGCACACGUGCUUCCCAGGGACAUGUGUAUGUUGGAUAAGAGUGGUGGAGUUGGUGGGUGAUAUUGGAAGGUGAAAUAAUAUUGACAUGGUGAAACAAUAUGAAUAUUGCAAAAUAAAGUAAUGCAAAUUA